UACGUAGGGUGCGAGCGUUAAUCGGAAUUACUGGACGUAAAGCGUGCGCAGGCGGAUAUGUAAGACAGAGGUGAAAUCCCCGGGCUCAACCUGGGAACUGCCUUUGUGACUGCAUGACUAGAGUACGGCAGAGGGGGAUGGAAGUCCGCGUGUAGCAGUGAAAUGCGUAGAUAUGCGGAGGAACACCGAUGGCGAAGGCAAUCCCCUGGGCCUGUACUGACGCUCAUGCACGAAAGCGUGGGGAGCAAACAGG
RNAcentral lists this ribosomal RNA (253 nucleotides) under uncultured bacterium. RNAcentral describes it as "partial 16S ribosomal RNA". It matches the Rfam family "Bacterial small subunit ribosomal RNA", at positions 524 to 776 of the family's 1533-position model. The record is from RNAcentral.